CCCGUUAGCGCCGAUGGUACUGCAGAGAUGUGGGAGAGUAGGUCGACGCCAACC
This 54-nucleotide ribosomal RNA is filed under the name Marinifilum flexuosum. Lineage: Bacteria; Pseudomonadati; Bacteroidota; Bacteroidia; Marinilabiliales; Marinifilaceae. The record is from RNAcentral.